UGGAUCAUUGUUUUUGKAURAAGUCCWAGUCUAGGGAGGRAAGUUGGAAGGUUAAUAKUUAAAWGAAUUGKCGWKUGCCCSCCCAACCAGCGGAGCAUGCUGAUUAAUUUGAUGCAACGMGAAMAACCUUAMCAAGGCUUGUCAUACACCAGWCCGUCCUCGAAACAGGUCCUSUUYUUGAAGKUGGUGUMCAGGUGGUGCAWGGUUGUYGUCAGCUSGUGUCCUGAGAUGUUGGGUUAAGUCCCGCAACGAGCGCAACCCUCGUUCUAUGUUGCCAGCACGUGAUGGUGGGAACUCAUAGGAGACUGCCGGGGUCARCUCGGAGGAAGGUGGGGAUGACGUCAMAUCAUCAUGCCCUUUAUGUCUUGGGCUUCACGCAUGCUACAAUGGCUGGUACAGAGAGAGGCGAACCCGUGAGGGCAAGCGAAUCCCUUAAAGCCAGUCUCAGUUCGGAUCGUAGUCUGCAAUUCGACUACGUGAAGUCGGAGUCGCUAGUAAUCGCAGAUCAGCAACGCUGCGGUGAAUACGUUCCCGGGCCUUGUACACACCGCCCGUCAAGKCACGAAAGUCGGUAACACCCGAAGCCGGUGGCCUAACCCCUUGUGGGAGGGGCCGUCUAAGUUGGAUC
Molecule: ribosomal RNA, 628 nt
Filed under: Brevibacterium casei
Lineage: Bacteria; Bacillati; Actinomycetota; Actinomycetes; Micrococcales; Brevibacteriaceae
Description: partial 16S ribosomal RNA
Source: RNAcentral